Acanthochromis polyacanthus (spiny chromis) is the source of this 782-nucleotide long non-coding RNA. RefSeq lists it as uncharacterized. NCBI's taxonomy places the organism in Eukaryota, Metazoa, Chordata, Actinopteri, Pomacentridae. The transcript is spliced from 2 exons. The record is from RefSeq and is a predicted model, not a curated record.
CUGAAACCGGAAAUCCCCCCAGUUUGUUUACCUGUUUGUUUACCUGUGUUUAAGUGUUUGUUUACCUGGGGUCUGUUUCAUGAAGCAGGUUUAACAAACUCUGAGUUUCUUCCUCAACAGUUCCUCAAUAGUUGAUCUAUUCUGAGAUAGAAAACUCUGAGUUUUCGGUUUCACAACGGCUGGUUUGAGUUGGUUUAAUUAACUCGGAGUAGUUUCACUCGGAGUUACGCGCGUGCACCGCAAGUCUGAAAAGACAGCAUCAAUGGAACCCCGAUUCGACGAGUCACCAUGGAAACGGGGAAGCGAAAGGCUGCGUUUUUGAACUGGAAGUUUUUAACGCGCUCAUAUGGCGAGUUUGGACACGUUUUUAGAAAGAAGUGCAACACCGCUGCAGCUGUAAAAGAGAGAGAGACGGCGUGGAGAACAGCCCGGAUCAAUGCAGCAUGGCUGGACAGCAGCAGGAUGGUUCCUCAGCUUCCACUGCACAGACUGACACAGUGAGAUGGAUGUUCAGGAAACACCAGAGCUUCAUUCUGUGGAAUUCAUGUGCAACUGUAGAAUUUAAUGUUCUCUAUGUAUUCCCAGUUAUCAGUAAAACAGAUUUACAAACUGCAUUUACUGAGAAAAAUCCAAAAAACAGAUUAGGAGGGCAGAUCUGGAAAUAGAAAGACUGGAGCACAAGUUAGAGGUGGUGAUGGUCACAGGUGAAUUAUGUUAACUACUGGAACAUGAACUGAACUAUCUUUUAUUUGUAGGAAAUAAAGAAGAGCAAAUGAAAUGUG